Molecule: small RNA, 116 nt
Filed under: Marmota monax (woodchuck)
Lineage: Eukaryota; Metazoa; Chordata; Mammalia; Rodentia; Sciuridae
Source: RNAcentral
GCUGGGCAUGGGGUGCAUGCCUGUAAUCCCAGCGCUCGGGAGGCUGAGGCAGGAGGAUCACAAGUUCAAAGCCAGCCUCAGCAAAAGUGAGGCAACUCAAUGAGACCCUAUCUCUA